UAACACAUGCAAGUCGAGGGGCAGCAUGGUCUUAGCUUGCUAAGGCCGAUGGCGACCGGCGCACGGGUGAGUAACGCGUAUCCAACCUGCCUUACACUCUUGGACAGCCUUCUGAAAGGGAGAUUAAUACAAGAUGUUAUCAUGAGUAAGCAUUUUCGCAUGAUUAAAGGUUUACCGGUGUAAGAUGGGGAUGCGUUCCAUUAGAUAGUAGGCGGGGUAACGGCCCACCUAGUCUUCGAUGGAUAGGGGUUCUGAGAGGAAGGUCCCCCACAUUGGAACUGAGACACGGUCCAAACUCCUACGGGAGGCAGCAGUGAGGAAUAUUGGUCAAUGGACGAGAGUCUGAACCAGCCAAGUAGCGUGAAGGAUGAAGGUUCUAUGGAUUGUAAACUUCUUUUAUACGGGAAUAAACGAAUCCACGUGUGGAUUUUUGCAUGUACCGUAUGAAUAAGGAUCGGCUAACUCCGUGCCAGCAGCCGCGGUAAUACGGAGGAUCCGAGCGUUAUCCGGAUUUAUUGGGUUUAAAGGGAGCGUAGAUGGGUUGUUAAGUCAGUUGUGAAAGUUUGCGGCUCAACCGUAAAAUUGCAAUUGAUACUGGCAGUCUUGAGUACAGUUGAGGUAGGCGGAAUUCGUGGUGUAGCGGUGAAAUGCUUAGAUAUCACGAAGAACUCCGAUUGCGAAGGCAGCUUACUAACCUGUAACUGACAUUGAUGCUCGAAAGUGUGGGUAUCAAACAGGAUUAGAUACCCUGGUAGUCCACACGGUAAACGAUGAAUACUCGCUGUAGGCGAUAUACAGUCUGCGGCCAAGCGAAAGCAUUAAGUAUUCUACCUGGGGAGUACGCCGGCAACGGUGAAACUCAAAGGAAUUGACGGGGGCCCGCACAAGCGGAGGAACAUGUGGUUUAAUUCGAUGAUACGCGAGGAACCUUACCCGGGCUUAAAUUGCAACCGAAUAUGGCGGAAACGCUAUAGCUAGCAAUAGCGGUUGUGAAGGUGCUGCAUGGUUGUCGUCAGCUCGUGCCGUGAGGUGUCGGCUUAAGUGCCAUAACGAGCGCAACCCUUGCCGAUAGUUACUAACAGGUCAUGCUGAGGACUCUGUCGGGACUGCCAUCGUAAGAUGUGAGGAAGGUGGGGAUGACGUCAAAUCAGCACGGCCCUUACGUCCGGGGCUACACACGUGUUACAAUGGGGGGUACAGAGGGCUGCUACCACGCAAGUGGAUGCCAAUCCCAAAAACCUCUCUCAGUUCGGAUUGAAGUCUGCAACCCGACUUCAUGAAGCUGGAUUCGCUAGUAAUCGCGCAUCAGCCACGGCGCGGUGAAUACGUUCCCGGGCCUUGUACACACCGCCCGUCAAGCCAUGGGAGCCGGGGGUACCUGAAGUGCGUAACCGCAAGGAGCGCCCUAGGGUAAAACUGGUGACUGGGGCUAA
This 1433-nucleotide ribosomal RNA is filed under the name uncultured organism. RNAcentral describes it as "16S ribosomal RNA". It matches the Rfam family "Bacterial small subunit ribosomal RNA". The record is from RNAcentral.